UCAUGUCAGAUGUGAGAUGAGCGUGAUCAGAUUAUACCGCAGCACAUCUCCACUCAUCUGUCAUGAGC
RNAcentral lists this microRNA precursor (68 nucleotides) under Danio rerio (zebrafish). RNAcentral's name for it is "Dre-Novel-5_pre stem-loop". Lineage: Eukaryota; Metazoa; Chordata; Actinopteri; Cypriniformes; Danionidae. The record is from RNAcentral.